RNAcentral lists this ribosomal RNA (497 nucleotides) under uncultured bacterium. Its description in RNAcentral is "partial 16S ribosomal RNA". It matches the Rfam family "Bacterial small subunit ribosomal RNA", at positions 38 to 507 of the family's 1533-position model. The record is from RNAcentral.
GAAGAAAGAGGGAGGAGGGUUGAAUACAUGCAAGUUGAGCGCUGAAGGUUGGUACUUGUACCGACUGGAUGAGCAGCGAACGGGUGAGUAACGCGUGGGGAAUCUGCCUUUGAGCGGGGGACAACAUUUGGAAACGAAUGCUAAUACCGCAUAAAAACUUUAAACACAAGUUUUAAGUUUGAAAGAUGCAAUUGCAUCACUCAAAGAUGAUCCCGCGUUGUAUUAGCUAGUUGGUGAGGUAAAGGCUCACCAAGGCGAUGAUACAUAGCCGACCUGAGAGGGUGAUCGGCCACAUUGGGACUGAGACACGGCCCAAACUCCUACGGGAGGCAGCAGUAGGGAAUCUUCGGCAAUGGACGAAAGUCUGACCGAGCAACGCCGCGUGAGUGAAGAAGGUUUUCGGAUCGUAAAACUCUGUUGGUAGAGAAGAACGUUGGUGAGAGUGGAAAGCUCAUCAAGUGACGGUAACUACCCAGAAAGGGACGGCUAACUACGUG